Molecule: long non-coding RNA, 720 nt
Filed under: Capsicum annuum
Lineage: Eukaryota; Viridiplantae; Streptophyta; Magnoliopsida; Solanales; Solanaceae
Description: long non-coding RNA (CANN_LNC000409)
Source: RNAcentral
AAAAUGGGACGAAGAGAGAGUAGUACUCUAUUCUCUUUUUCCUUGUGGGAGUUCCUUUGCUCACUUUUAGCCAACCGUAAAGACAAUUCCCUCGUUUUGUUUAAUUUUUCACCUUUUUAAUGCUUUGAAAAAGAGUGGGUCGGGCAGCGUGCCCUAGGUGUUUGGUUGUCUUGCUUUGAUAGAGCAUUUGUCAUUUGUAAAUUGCACAUGAAAAAAUGAUUACUUUAAAGGGCUUUUUCCUCCCCAAGAAUUUCUAGAAAGUUUUGUAAUUAUAAUGGCCUAAGUUAAGAAUCAAAUUUGAUUUCUUUGAGAGCUAUAAUUGUCUCAUUAGGGAUCUCAUUGUAACUUCUUCAAGUUCAGGUAUUAUCGCAAGCGUUUCUCUUUUUUGGUUUCUCCAUAAAGAAUAGUACUGUAGUUAUAAGUGAAUUACUAAGCCUUUUUCAAUAGUCGAUCCAGCUUUGUUGAUGCAUUUACAAUUCAUUUAUCUGUGCAUAUGUUCGAGUAGGUGCUCUUCAUUCUAUGCAGGAUGUCAUAUUAUUUUACAUAGUAUACGCAGAGACAAAUUCAGGAUUUGAAGUCUGUGGGUACACCAGUGUUGUAAAGACGCGCAUAAGCCUCGAAGUAAGACUCAAAAUGUGUUGAGCGCUCGUCUCGCUUGAUGUGCAGCUUAGGUUCUAAUUUUUUAUACAUAUUUUUUCUUGUCAAUGAGGUUUUCUGAGG